Alosa alosa (allis shad) is the source of this 388-nucleotide long non-coding RNA. RefSeq lists it as uncharacterized. The record is from RefSeq and is a predicted model, not a curated record. NCBI's taxonomy places the organism in Eukaryota, Metazoa, Chordata, Actinopteri, Clupeiformes, Clupeidae. The transcript is spliced from 3 exons.
AAGCACAGAAAGGACAGUCCAUAACGUUGACUUUGCCUCCACACUCACUCACAUAUUUUCUUUCUCUCAGUGAAUAGUCGAUAACAAAAAAAAAAAACUGGUUGUGGGACAUUGGACCGUCUCUUCAUAGUGAUGAUCAGAGUAGACUUGCACUUACACGGAUGGUGCAAAGUCAAGAUGACAUGACAACAGUGAUUGGGUGAUGGGUUUUAUGUUGGGCUGGCCCCAUAAAGAACACAAUAAAGAUGAAAUGGCUUAAUGUCCUGCUUCAAUGUACAUCAAGACUACACAGAGUUACUACCUGCAGGAACAGGACUGAGCACAUUCAACAUGAGCCCUGGAACACAACACAUUUCCAUCAAUCAAGACUUAGUAGGUCUGUAACCUG